This 388-nucleotide ribosomal RNA is filed under the name uncultured bacterium. RNAcentral's name for it is "bacterial SSU rRNA". It matches the Rfam family "Bacterial small subunit ribosomal RNA", at positions 30 to 419 of the family's 1533-position model. The record is from RNAcentral.
AUUGAACGCUGGCGGCAUGCCUUACACAUGCAAGUCGAACGGCAGCACGGGAGCAAUCCUGGUGGCGAGUGGCGAACGGGUGAGUAAUAUAUCGGAACGUGCCCGGUCGUGGGGAUAACGUAGCGAAAGCUACGCUAAUACCGCAUACGAUCUACGGAUGAAAGCGGGGGAUCGCAAGACCUCGCGCGAUUGGAGCGGCCGAUAUCAGAUUAGGUAGUUGGUGAGGUAAAGGCUCACCAAGCCGACGAUCUGUAGCUGGUCUGAGAGGACGACCAGCCACACUGGGACUGAGACACGGCCCAGACUCCUACGGGAGGCAGCAGUGGGGAAUAUUGGACAAUGGGCGCAAGCCUGAUCCAGCAAUGCCGCGUGCAGGAUGAAGGCCUUC